CCUACGGGACGCAGCAGUGAGGAAUAUUGGUCAAUGGCCGAGAGGCUGAACCAGCCAAGUCGCGUGAGGGAUGACGGCCCUACGGGUUGUAAACCUCUUUUGACGGGGAGCAAAGAGAGUCACGUGUGACUCAUUGAGAGUACCCGAAGAAAUAGCAUCGGCUAACUCCGUGCCAGCAGCCGCGGUAAUACGGAGGAUGCGAGCGUUAUCCGGAUUUAUUGGGGUUAAAGGGGGCGCAGGCGGAGGUGCAAGUCAGCGGUUAAAUUGUGGGGGUCAACCCCGUACUGCCGUUGAAACUGCAUCCC
Molecule: ribosomal RNA, 305 nt
Filed under: uncultured bacterium
Lineage: Bacteria
Description: bacterial SSU rRNA
Rfam family: Bacterial small subunit ribosomal RNA
Source: RNAcentral